AUGGGAGGUGAUAGAAGUUGGAGCUGUAGAGCAUGUCAAACUGUGGCAGUCACAUUGCUCCUGUGCUCUUUAGCCCUUUGUUUAAACUUGCGAGUGCUGGGCAAAAAAGUUAAACAUGAGGGAUCUAGUGAGACUGCAGUGAAAGAUGGAAGAAAGGGAAGCAUUCUCUUUCAUGGAAAAAGGCUUAACUUCCAGUCAGGAUCUGCUUCUUCUGCGGUUGCCACAGGACAUGCGUUGCUGCAAGUUGACUUGCAUCAGUCAAGCAUCACAGAGAGUAGAUCAAAGCUGAAGAAUGACACUGCUAAUGAAGUAGCAUGGAGGCAAUUAAACUCUUCACUACUCUGUGGCGAUAACAAGAUGAAGCUGAAGGCCAUGGGGCCUGGUGCUGCUGAUCUACAACUGCACAUAGAAAAUGCACAACCCUUAAAACUGAAGCAUGUGCCUGAAAGCUGUGGUUUGUCAAUACACCAGAAUUCACUGGGACUAGUUUUAAAUGUCCCUUAUAAUGCCUGCAGUGUGCUAACAGAGAAUGGAAGCUAUGUGUUGCCAAUGAUUUGGCGGGGGAUGGCAGUUAAAUUCAUCUGCCCUGUUGUCAAUCCUGAUGCAACUCCUGCUUCGACAGUCCCUGGACCUGUUCAACAGCCCUGGAAAUUUCCUUUCUCUCUCAGGCCGUGGCACUUCCAUCGCUCGAAACGACAAGCAAAACAGCCCUGCUAUCCUAAUCUACAUAAUUCCUACUGGUAUAACUGUUACAUGCAUAUGAUGGCGCCAGGUGCUAAGACUAACCCAACUACAACUACCGCUCCCCCUCACACAAAGCCACCUGCAUAUUCAUAUCCUCUGUACUACCCAUAUAACUUUUAUUACCCCUACUACUCCUACUAUCUCCCAGUGAGGAACACUAUGCCACCAGCUACAACCACUGUGGCACCAUCUACGACUGUUAGACCUAGCAGCAUCAAAAAUCCUUCCAAGCGCCCUGCCUACUACCCUCCACAUUUUCCUAAUAUGCACUACCUUCCACCAGGCCAACCGGUGCAAAUGAUCCCUGACAAAACUCAGGUUUACUACUACAACCCGGAGACUGAAUAUUUCUAUGGAAAGCCUUCAUACCAACAAAAACCAAAUGUGCCAAAGCAACCUACUUGGUCUCAAUUUACCCCAGUUGCUAUGCCAGGUUACCCAGCUUCCCCUGUGAAACUGAGUUACCAAAGCCUUGUGAGCCCAGAAACCUCUGCAGCCCCUAUAGCCCCAUAUGUUCCAUUUGACAAGCUCCCUUUUGAGCCAUAUAUUGUAUACAAGGCUAAGAAACUCCCUGAUGACCAGAAGUACAUGGCCAAAGCCGGUUUUAAAUCUAGAUUCCAAACACAUUCAGGCUUCCCUUUGCAAAGUGCUUCCAGGUUUCCUCAGUACAAAGGUCAAGGAGGUCCGACUGGGAAUUAAGCAGAGCUGUAAGUGCUAAGGGUUUCUUGAUGGUGUGAAUUUGGUAAUGGUUAAAUUGUUCUAAGAAAAUCUUGUUUUCUCGUGGUGCAUGAUAAAAAUUCAUUAAAGACUUUUCUACUGUGAACUUGUUCUCAUGUAUGUGUUUUUAUUUAUUUUUUUUAUUAUUAUAAACACUACAAAAGACUACUCUCUUCAUUCAUGUGAAAAGUACUGGUCAUUUAAUGAUGGUGAAAUGCACAGUCCUAAGCAUGUUGGUUGUCAUGGUACGCCCCUUUUUAAAACACCAAACUGAAUUACUUUUCAAAUGUUUGACCUAUUUAUGGCAAACCCCCUCAAUACAUGUUAGAGCUCAUACUAAGACAAUGAAUUAAAGUCUGUAGAGGGCUACCUUUAGUUCUUGUUUAUGGAACACAUUUUUUUUUUUUUUUUUUUCUCUUGUGUCUUUGCACGAACUUUUUUGCAUAAAUCCCAUUCACCCACUGCACACAUAGACCCUAUUCUGUCUGUUCCUAUAUAGUUUUGCACAGUGCUCUCUCUCCCCCUUGGGCACCCCGUGACUGUGUGUGUACACACUUCCCUGAAACUCAACCACACGUGACAACUGAGAGAUGUGUAAUGCUGGACUCUGAAUCCAGACAUGCUCAUUGUCAUUCAUCCACUUCAUUUUCUAAACGCUACUUGGAGGGUGCAAAGCUCCAGAACAAGAAAUCAAGUAGAUCAUUCAUGCAACACUGCAUAUGUGUGUCUCUGCAGCUGGUUAAAUUAUUCAGUCAUUUAAAGAAGUGGUUGCAUCUCUUUAGCCAAGGUGAGCGUUUUAUGUGGUACACAUGAUUUUGCUUUAGCUUUUUAUCAGUGAUAAAGAAUUUGGAUGUUUGUAUCAGGCUAUAGAUUUGUUUUGUGGCUUUGUUUAAAUGAACUUAAUGAAAGGAUUACAACCAGAGACUGAAAUUAUACAUUUUUAAAAAAUCUCAUUUUGUUAUGUAAUCUUUGUUUUUCUAUCCAUGCUACCACAGGAAACAUUAAGAUACCGUGCACUAAAUGGACUGGAACAGCCAUUGUUUAAACAACUAAUUUUGGUCAAAGAUCUGUAUUCCUCUCCUGUUUAUGUCUGGCUAGAUUCCCGACCAGAUCUCACAGCUCCUCCUCCAUCUCUAAAAUUUGCUCCGCCUACUCUACUUUGUAUCUUUAUGGAGGACUAUGAUGUGGACAUGGAUGAGGAAGAGGAGGGAGACGUAUUCACUAGAAAGGCCACAACGUGCCACUGGUGGGAAGAUGCACAGCAUCAGGGAGGAAGACUAGGAUGCAUGGUAAACAGUCGCAGCUGGGCAGAGGAGCUUAAGGAUAUCUUUGCACCACAGGCAGAUCACUGUUAUAGUGGAGCAAGAACCAGGCUGUCCAGCAUCUCUGUGAGUCAUUCACUGUCUCUUGUUUGAUCCACACAUGGAAAUAAAUGAGGACACUUGUUCUGAUGGCUACGUAUCUUGUAGUUGUUGAAGAGACUUCUCCAAAUAAAAAGGAAUGGGCUAUAGGGAAAAAAUUGUGGGUAAAAGUGCAACAGCAGGCUGUGUUUAUCACCAUAUUUGCAAUAUGCAGUUCUGUUUUCAUAUGCAUGCAGCGUAUAAUUAUAUAUAUAUAUGCAGCAUAUUUUCCAUAAGAGAAAUUCCUGGCAUGGAGAGACUGAGAAUAUUUGGCUUGAUGUUGACGAAAGAAGGAAGAUGAGUCAGUCUUUCGUCAUUUAAUCAGUGCACAACUGCACUGUGACACAGCACUGUGGGAACUAACUACAAGCCUGUUUGUUUGUGUGUGUGUGUGUGUGCAACACUGGUUGUUUAUGCACGUGUGGACAAAUCCGCCAUGUGCUUCCUUAUGCCUCUUACGACUCAUUACACUUGUACCUUUGAUGUGGGAUGAGGCUGGAGGAAAUUCCUCCAGAAGACAAAACAAAUAUAACAAAUCUCCUACGCUGUGUAAGGCCAAUAAUCAGAUGUUGAUCUAUUAAAGAACCAGCUGUGGCCUCUUUAACUAUUUUGUUGCAUUCUCAUCCAUUAGGCCUUCUAGCCUAGUCCAACUGCCAUUUUUUUUAUAGAUCCAAAAUGUCUGCCUCCACUUAUCAGAAACACAGAUUUAUUAUUUGUCCCUCUCCUUCCAGUAAAGGAAAGAUGAAGAGGAGAAGGCAAGAGAGAGAAAAUAGAGGAAGAUGGAGGUACAGAUAACAGAUCAGGAAAGCAGUGGCAGCACUGAGCAGCUUCGUCUCUCCCCUCCCUUGAUUUCUCUCUCCUCCUCUGCUUCCGUCGCUUCCCACUCCUUCCUCUCCUUCCUCUCCUGCUCCCACGUCUCCCCACCCUCCCCUAUCUGCUGCCUCUCCCCUCCCUGCUCUGUCAUCCCUUCCUCCCACCCUCGCUCUCCUGCACGGAGCUGCGGUAUAAGAGAGGGUCUCCUGGGUCUAGUUUCACUGCAGUGUAGAGGAGGGCAGGACGGCUGUUUUAGUACGAUGCGCUGAAGGAUGGUGCACCAGGAGAAACGCAUUUACCAG
Oreochromis niloticus (Nile tilapia) is the source of this 3976-nucleotide long non-coding RNA. Lineage: Eukaryota; Metazoa; Chordata; Actinopteri; Cichliformes; Cichlidae. The record is from Ensembl.